GAAAACUCAAUAUGGCCCAUAAAAAUGGCCCAGUACAAUCCAUAUUUCUAUACAAAAUGGUGUUGUUAUAUGUGUGAAAUGGUUUUGUUAUAUGUGUGAAAUGAUGCCUAAAUUAUAAUGUUUUGUCUUAUCUUGGCGCUGAAACGGGUUGGUUUUCAUUCAUGUUGCUGCCGCAACUUUGGCUUGGUGCUGAAAUGUUGGCGGGUUCGGGUUCCCUGACGAGGACGAAAAACCCGAUGGGACGGGGCUGGGAGAAAACUGAAACCCGCAACCGGGGACGAGGACGGGUCUGAGAUGAAGGUCGCGGGGACGGGUUUGGGCAGCCACUACCCGGCGGGUUUCGUCCCCGUUACCGUCCGGAGAAAUGACGGGCUAAAAAAAAAAGGUGGGUUGGGCUAGAAUUGAGAAGGUUGAUGGGCCAAAUGUGUUAAUCCUAUAAAAAAUAAAAAGAAACAAACGGGUCGUGCCGGGCUGGUCUGAGGGCCCAUGGAAGCCCAGGCGUGGCACAUGUUUUGUGCCGGGCUCAUGAUACUCGGGCUUUUGAAAAAGUCCAGCCCAAUGACCAUCUAUAGUAGGGGCUACCAGGUCGUGUUUAUGCCUGCAUUCCAUCUUAGCGGGCUGUCAUGGCACGACUCGUUUAUAUGUGGGCUUGGGAGGCCCGAUUAGCAGCAAAGCGGGUCAUGAGGGGCCUGGGUUGGCCUGUUGGUUAACUAUAAUCAAUAGAGUUUCUCAAGAUGGUGGGGCCACAUGUUAGCUUCGUCUUAGAGAAAGUGGCUUUUUAAACAAAUUAAGUAGUACUAAUAUUUUCGUGAAUAAAUUUU
RNAcentral lists this long non-coding RNA (821 nucleotides) under Brachypodium distachyon (stiff brome). Its description in RNAcentral is "long non-coding RNA (BDIS_LNC001232)". Lineage: Eukaryota; Viridiplantae; Streptophyta; Magnoliopsida; Poales; Poaceae. The record is from RNAcentral.